CAAAACAGGCAAGGAAGUUCAUUCCUGCUUAUCUCGCGGUCAAGUCUUGGGAGGAUUAGAUCUUAGGCGCGUUUAUCGCUGCCCCGGAAACGGUGAAAAGGUCACGCGAAACUUUGUAAACAAGGCGUUCAGCGCCUUGUUUUUUUU
Molecule: small RNA, 147 nt
Filed under: uncultured Gellertiella sp.
Lineage: Bacteria; Pseudomonadati; Pseudomonadota; Alphaproteobacteria; Hyphomicrobiales; Rhizobiaceae
Description: Alphaproteobacterial sRNA ar9
Rfam family: Alphaproteobacterial sRNA ar9
Source: RNAcentral